AUAGUUGGAUUUAUCUACGGGUACGUGGCUGAACAGUUCGGGUGGACUGUGUACAUAGUUAUGGCCGGAUUUGCUUUUUCGUGUUUGUUGACACUUCCUCCAUGGCCUAUUUAUCGCCGGCAUCCCCUCAAGUGGUUACCUGUUCAAGAUUCAGGCUCCGAAGACAAGAAACCAGGGGAAAGAAAAGUUAAGAGGCAUGCUAAAAAUAAUUAGGGUUUUCAUGAUUCAGCUUUACUGUUGCACCUGCUUUCGUUUUGUAUGAGAUGAGCUAAAUUGUUUUCGUAUCCAAAACAUGAGUUGAAACCCAUCACUGCUCCUCCAGCACAGCUGUGUAUACAUUUUGUUGUCUUUAUAUUUCAUUUCUAACUCCGUUGGCUUUUGACUUAUAAUUAUUUUAGACCUUCUCUUCAUAAUCUUUAUCUGAAAUGAGAGCAGAAAACACAAGUAUGCAAAGUUUCUUUCAGGUCUACAAAAAUAAUGAAUAAAUGCCUCAUAAAAGUAC
Puma concolor (puma) is the source of this 502-nucleotide non-coding RNA. Lineage: Eukaryota; Metazoa; Chordata; Mammalia; Carnivora; Felidae. The record is from RefSeq and is a predicted model, not a curated record.